Molecule: ribosomal RNA, 571 nt
Filed under: uncultured Ralstonia sp.
Lineage: Bacteria; Pseudomonadati; Pseudomonadota; Betaproteobacteria; Burkholderiales; Burkholderiaceae
Description: bacterial SSU rRNA
Rfam family: Bacterial small subunit ribosomal RNA
Source: RNAcentral
UGAUGGCGAGUGGCGAACGGGUGAGUAAUACAUCGGAACGUGCCCUGUAGUGGGGGAUAACUAGUCGAAAGAUUAGCUAAUACCGCAUACGACCUGAGGGUGAAAGUGGGGGACCGCAAGGCCUCAUGCUAUAGGAGCGGCCGAUGUCUGAUUAGCUAGUUGGUGAGGUAAAGGCUCACCAAGGCGACGAUCAGUAGCUGGUCUGAGAGGACGAUCAGCCACACUGGGACUGAGACACGGCCCAGACUCCUACGGGAGGCAGCAGUGGGGAAUUUUGGACAAUGGGCGAAAGCCUGAUCCAGCAAUGCCGCGUGUGUGAAGAAGGCCUUCGGGUUGUAAAGCACUUUUGUCCGGAAAGAAAUGGCUCUGGUUAAUACCUGGGGUCGAUGACGGUACCGGAAGAAUAAGGACCGGCUAACUACGUGCCAGCAGCCGCGGUAAUACGUAGGGUCCAAGCGUUAAUCGGAAUUACUGGGCGUAAAGCGUGCGCAGGCGGUUGUGCAAGACCGAUGUGAAAUCCCCGAGCUUAACUUGGGAAUUGCAUUGGUGACUGCACGGCUAGAGUGUGUCA